RNAcentral lists this ribosomal RNA (253 nucleotides) under uncultured bacterium. Its description in RNAcentral is "partial 16S ribosomal RNA". It matches the Rfam family "Bacterial small subunit ribosomal RNA", at positions 524 to 776 of the family's 1533-position model. The record is from RNAcentral.
UACGGAGGGGGCGAGCGUUAUUCGGAAUUAUUGGGCGUAAAGGGCGCGUAGGCGGCCGGAUAAGUCAAAGGUGAAAUCCCUCGGCUCAACUGAGGAACUGCCUUUGAAACUGUUUGGCUCGAGUCCGGGAGGGGGUAGCGGAAUUCCCAGUGUAGCGGUGAAAUGCGCAGAUAUCAGGAGGAACACCGGUGGCGAAGGCGGGUCUCUGGGCAACAACUGACGCUGAGGAGCGAAAGCUAGGGGAGCAAACGGG